UGGGGAAUAUUGGACAAUGGGCGAAAGCCUGAUCCAGCGACGCCGCGUGUCGGAAGGAGUCCUUCGGGAUGUAAACGACUUUUGGUGGAGACGAAUAAGCAGCUCAGGGAAUGGGGCUGUGAUGACGGUAUCCAUGGAAUAAGCCCCGGCUAACUACGUGCCAGCAGCCGCGGUAAGACGUAGGGGGCAAGCGUUGCCCGGAAUUACUGGGCGUAAAGGGAGCGUAGGCGGGAGGUCAAGUCCGGUGUGAAAGACCCUGGCUCAACCAGGGAUGAGGGCUGGAAACUGACAAUCUUGAGUACAGCAGAGGAAGAGGGAAUUACCGGUGUAGGGGUGAAAUCCGUAGAGACCGGUAAGCAGGCCAGUGGCGAAGGCGCUUUUCUGGGCUGUUACUGACGCUGAGGCUCGAAAGCCAGGGGAGCAAACCG
This 428-nucleotide ribosomal RNA is filed under the name uncultured bacterium. RNAcentral's name for it is "bacterial SSU rRNA". It matches the Rfam family "Bacterial small subunit ribosomal RNA", at positions 355 to 775 of the family's 1533-position model. The record is from RNAcentral.